GAUUUCGCUUUUUCUGUGUGGCAGAGUGCUCCUUCUACUAUGGUGGGAUUCGUACCUCGUAUGCAUUGGCUGGAUGGCCAGAAGAAUGGUGUCCCAUAUCACAAAUAUGGAGGAUGGUGGUCAGUUUGGUGGAUGGGUGCUUAUAGUAUGGUUCUCUCAAAAGCUGCAUUCUUUCACAAGAAGUACUUGGACUUGUAUACACACAUGAUGCCCCCAUCAAUACAAGAUUAUGUAGCCAGGGAAAGGAACUGUGAAGAUAUUGCAAUGUCUUUGCUCAUUGCCAAUGCUACAGGUGCUCCUCCAAUUUGGGUGAAAGGAAAGAUACAUGAGAUUGCAUCAUCAGGCAUAAGUAGUCUUAAAGGGCAUAGUGACAGGAGAAAUAAAUGCCUGAAUGACAUAAUUUCCCUAUAUGGGACU
RNAcentral lists this unclassified non-coding RNA (417 nucleotides) under Hevea brasiliensis (rubber tree). Lineage: Eukaryota; Viridiplantae; Streptophyta; Magnoliopsida; Malpighiales; Euphorbiaceae. The record is from RNAcentral.